GGGGUUGUGGUCUAGCUUGGCUAGGAUUCGCCCUUGGGGUGGGCGAGGUCGGGGGUUCGAAUCCUCCCAACCCCA
Molecule: transfer RNA, 75 nt
Filed under: Candidatus Woesearchaeota archaeon
Lineage: Archaea; Nanobdellati; Candidatus Woesearchaeota
Description: tRNA-Pro
Rfam family: tRNA
About the family: Transfer RNA (tRNA) molecules are approximately 80 nucleotides in length.
Source: RNAcentral